Molecule: ribosomal RNA, 209 nt
Filed under: Plasmodium falciparum (malaria parasite P. falciparum)
Lineage: Eukaryota; Apicomplexa; Aconoidasida; Haemosporida; Plasmodiidae
Description: partial 18S ribosomal RNA
Source: RNAcentral
UUUUUAAACUGGUUUGGGAAAACCAAAUAUAUUAUAUAUUUUGCUUUGUUCAAAAUAAGGUUUUCUAAUAAAUUAUGUUUUUAUCAGAUAUGACAGAAUCUUUUUUAAAAUCUCUUCAAUAUGCUUUUAUUGCUUUUGAGAGGUUUUGUUACUUUGAGUAAAAUUAAGUGUUCAUAACAGACGGGUAGUCAUGAUUGAGUUCAUUGUGU